CAGUAGCCGCGGUAAUACGUAGGUGGCAAGCGUUGUCCGGAAUUAUUGGGCGUAAAGGGCUCGCAGGCGGUUUCUUAAGUCUGAUGUGAAAGCCCCCGGCUCAACCGGGGAGGGUCAUUGGAAACUGGGAAACUUGAGUGCAGAAGAGGAGAGUGGAAUUCCACGUGUAGCGGUGAAAUGCGUAGAGAUGUGGAGGAACACCAGUGGCGAAGGCGACUCUUUGGUCUGUAACUGACGCUGAGGAGCGAAAGCGUGGAGAGCGAACAGGAUUAGAUACCCCUGUAGUCCCUGUCUCUUAUAC
This 301-nucleotide ribosomal RNA is filed under the name uncultured bacterium. Its description in RNAcentral is "partial 16S ribosomal RNA". It matches the Rfam family "Bacterial small subunit ribosomal RNA", at positions 509 to 807 of the family's 1533-position model. The record is from RNAcentral.